Cavia porcellus (domestic guinea pig) is the source of this 8751-nucleotide long non-coding RNA. RefSeq lists it as uncharacterized. Lineage: Eukaryota; Metazoa; Chordata; Mammalia; Rodentia; Caviidae. The transcript is spliced from 11 exons. The record is from RefSeq and is a predicted model, not a curated record.
CACUGUAGGGGGCGGGGCAAGACGGGACGGGCCGCGCGGAGGGACAAGACUCUCCGCCUCUGACCUAAUACCAAAUGCGCAUGCCCAGCUCGGAGGCGGCGCAGCAGCACUCGGCCCCGCCCACCCUCUGCAAUGGAGGCGCUCGCCCUGCUGACGCGGGCUGUGGAGACCUCGUAUGGGAUGGUGCCCAAUCGAUGAGGAGAAACACUAACUUUGCAAAGGGUUUUUUCAGAUGUUUGCAUUAUUCUUAUUGAUCCAAGGAGUGAUAGAUGCCCUGCUAAUAAAGUUGGUAAAAGAGGAGUUACUUCAGUAACGUUCCCACCUGUUAUUUUGGAUAACUCACAUCCAUUGGCAUGGAGAAAGAAGAGUUGGAGGCAGAGAAGGAAUAAUUGGUUUAUGCUACUACACAGGCUGAAAAUUCCCACAAAUUGUAAAUUGGAAAACCAUGGAAGCCAGUGCUACAGUUUGGUGCAAGUCUCAAAUGCCUGGGAACCAGAAACCGUGAUACCAAAUUCAGAAAGAGUGUCCUAGCUCCGGUAGAAAAUCAAUUUAUUUUUCCUCCAGAGUUUUUCCAUCAAGGCCCUAAGGAUCUGGAUGGUGCCUGCCUGCCCUGGUUUCGCUGAAGGGUGAGGAGCAAAAUUCUCUUUGUUGGCAUCUGUAACCAGCAUCCCUUUUGGUUCACAUCAUGUUAUUAUUUUGAAUAUGAUCUUUGUGGUCUAGCCUAUGGAGUUAAAUGGACAUCAUGUGAAGAUACCUGCAGAAGCUGCCUGUCUACAAUUCAAGGAGAGAAACUUCAGAAGAAAUCAAGUUUGUCAACGUCGGAAAUUUGGAUUCUAUUUUCCAUCACGAUCAAGUAAUUGUAUGGCUUGAAAAAGAAAGAUUCUUCAUUUUUCGGUCCUGAUUCUUUUAGACUCCUCUUUUGGCACGUACUGGACAUCCGAGUAAAAUGGCUCCCGAUGCAACGCUUUUCUGCCUUUUUCACUUCUUACCCUAGAGAGCGGCUCAUCACUGUCUGUUUACUUCUUAAAUGGCAUCGAGAGGUAUAAAACGAACUAUUUGUCAGUUUAACAUUUGUUCGGAGCGUAAUGUCUCAUCUGGUUGACUGGGAUAAUUGAAAAUGGAAGUCAGAACGAGUUGCAAGAUUUUUCAUUUUUACAGAUUUUGAUUUAAAGAGAUUAUGUGCCCUUUCCAUAAAGUUAUUUUCUUUCCUAUGUCUGGGUUUCAUUACAUAUCAUAUAUCUUUAUUUUAAAGAUAGUUGUAGUGUCUACUCUAUAAUUACAUCAUUAGGAAUUCUUGGCAGAUCUUGCUGUGUAUGAUGAAUUGUUAUAAAAGGAAACUCUAAGUUUAUACGCUAGAUUUAUUCCUCUGUUAUUGUGUGAUUCUUUGCUUAAAUUUAAAAGUAUUAUUUCUCCAUAUUUUUGAAAUAGAACCUAUGUUAAAUAUUAUUUCCUUAGUUAGUGUUCAAGGUAGGUUUUUCUUUUUGAAAAAACUGUCUAAUAUAAAUGAGGAAAUUUAGAUUAAUUUUUUUUAUUUCUACCAAAAAUAAAAGAGUUAAAAUAUAAAUGUCUUGCCUUGUAAGUAUGUAGAACUUGGUAUUUUAGAACUUUCUAUAAUUGCAGUAAUUCAUUUUGACAUUACCUUUACAGGCAAAAUCCCAAUCUUUACUGAUAGAGAAACUUGGGAAAUUCUACUGUUAGCAAUAUAAAGAACUAACUCAAAAUGCUGGGUGCAUAAUAAAACAGUCUCUUACUUUUCACUAGGGAAGCCUUUUCAUUUAAAAAUAAAAAUGAGGAAUUUGGUUGGAAGGCCAAGAGCAAAUUUUUUUGUUUUUAUCUCUCUGUACUACUAGUAGUUAUGUAAGAUGGUAUAUAUAAGUCCAUUUUUAAAGGAGUAUUUUCUCUGUGAAAGAAACAAAGAAAAAUAAUCUUCCCUCAGAGAUAUAUGAAAAAUGUUACAUUUUUAUUGUUGACCUAAAAUAAUGCAUUCCUUAAGACAUCCUAAAUAUAACCCGAGCUCAUGUGGAAUUGUUACAUGGAUUUAUACAAUUUUAAAAUAAGAAAUUAAUUUAAUGUGGCUAAGAUGUUUUGCUGAAAUCACUAAAAUUAUUCUCUAGAAUAAUAUCAUAUUUAACCUAGACUCCUUCAUUUCUACAGUUUUAGAUUAAUUAAGCUUUAAAUUCAAAAGUAUGCAAAACACAAGCCUCAUUAGUAAAAAUCAGCAUGAACAACAGUAAAAUUAGAAAUACUGUAGAGCAUCUGUCACAGUUUCAUUUUGCUCUUUAGGAUGGAGUAGACGUAAGCAUGUUUGUAGGUUAAGAGAAGAACAGAUUUAAGAAUUAACUAGUAGAGGGCUAAUUGAUGGGAAUCCUGGAGAAGAUGUGUAGAGAGCACAUAGGGAGCAGAGGGUGAAUGGAGAAGCACCAUUUAGCCCCUGAGGAGGGAAAGCUGAUGUUAAAAUGUUAAAUUAGAGAUAGACAAGAACAUGAAAGGCUGGUGCCUGAAUUUUCUCAGUAGAAUCAGAAAUGUGAAGUGAGAGUGGGCGGUUUGGUUGGAUCUUGGUUCACAGCUUAGCUUCUUAACGGAGAGUCUGCUGAGGAAGAUGAGUAAGGAGAAGCAGAAGGGUGGCUGAUCAGUGGGGACCCAAGUUUUGAUCUGCAAUGUCCACCAUAUUCAUCUGUGAGACAAUGAGACUCUCUGUCAGUUUGGGAUGAAGGAAACCUAUCAAAUCCAUAAUUUAAACGAAGACACAUUUAGAUAAAAAACAAACAAGUAGCUGAAAUUCUUAUUUCCAAUAUUCAGAGUUUAGGAAAAAAUGGGAUUGUGUGAAAGAAUUUUGAAAGCUCUUGUUGAAGUUGAAAUGAUUAAAUAUUUAAAAGUUCUUAUAUCAGAAAGAGCAAAUACUAGCUAUCAAGAAAAUUAUAUGGAUAAACACUGAUUAAAUGAACUCUCAAUGAAUUUCUUUCCUUUAAUUGGAUUGCCAAAAAUUGUUUUCUUUCUUUAAAUGUGUACAGGAAAGUAAGAAACAAGCAAACAAAAAAAUCAACCUUAUAAGUCAAACAGAAUACUUUGAAACUGUUUGGGCCCUGUGCAUGUUGAAUUUGGAAUCCUGACUGCUGAAGAAAAGCGUAUGUAUGAAUUUUAAGUGGUUCCCUAUGUCAUCAUUUCAGUGCACUGGAAUCGUCCACUAUGCGAGGUAUUCUAAUCGUUUAUUGAUCUUCUGGAAAGCAGCAUGGCAGCUGCAGCGAGAGUCCUAUCAUGUUUCUGUCCAGAAUCACUGCUGUAUCACAGCACCUGCUGCGAAGAAAAUUAAGCAUGGAUGAGCGAUCUUUGUUGAUUUCACUCUCAGCAGGUUCCACAGAGAAAAAAAGAAAUUCUGAAAUAAGAGACAAAAUAAGGAGAAAUGAUGAGGAUCAGAAAAAAUAAAAAGUAAAAAUGAGUUGGGAAAAGUAAGCAAGGUAAGAAAAGGUCUUACAAGUUAUAAAAUUCAGGUAUGAUGAGAAGAAUUUCUGAAAACCUGUGAGGCUGUUACAUUUGGUAAGUGCUCAGAGUCAGAGGAGGUAGGAGCUGAACUGACUGCACUGCUCUUGAGGUCUCUCGCAGCUCUUCUGCAAACAGUGCCCUUCUGGAGGGUGCUACCUGUUUAGACCCCCUCGGGGAGUUUAUGAAGAGCAUUAGGUAACACAGAACCUUAUUCAACUUGGUCAUUUAGUCUGGGUUCUGAGGAUUUCAUAAGUUGCCAAUACUGUCUUUGUAUUGUUUUAUCUUCCUGGUGUCUGUUUUGAAAGACAGUAAAAAUUAGAAGGGAGUAUAUUUUAGGCCUGCCUAGAAUGUUAUUAGGCCCAAGAAAUUUGAUGAAGUUUUAUUUUUUUUUCUUACCAGAAACCAUGAACUCAUUAGCUUAACUCAACUCAAAGAAGCUGUUUUGAAGCUUUUUCAUACAAAUCACUUGAAAGCAAGUUACUUUACUCUUCACUUAUCACUUGCUUAUGGCAGAGGCCUUGGAGGAAAAAAGGGCCUGAUAAUACAUGGUAACUGAAAAUCAACAGAAGCACCAACAAAAAUAUGAUUAAAGUUUUUAAAAUUUAUGUAUGUAAUGAAGAUUGCUGAUUCUUACAACACGAUAGCAGCAUAAAUUAAAGAGGACAAUCUGAAAAAGAAGGGAAAUGAACAUCUCAGUGCUCCAGCUCUGUAUCAUAAAUCCUACAUGCUUUAUAGAGAAGCCUCUUGGAUUCCCAUCAGAUGAUUCUUACUAUAUUUUAUAUUCUACAUAUCUGAUUAUCUUUUUUCCCUGCGUAAGGGUAGUAUAUGGAAUAAGUGUAUCUAGUUAACAUGAGAAAUCCACUAGAUUGUAAGCUCCAUGAGGGCAGAGACCAUAAUUAUCUUACUCAGUUUUAGACUCCUAGUGCCCAAAAAAUGUCUGCUAUACAGUAGCAACACAUAGAAUAUUUGUUUAAUAAUUUAACAAAUGGGUGGAAAUUAAUUGGAAACCAUCAGGAAAUCUAGAUCCAAUCUGUGAAUCAGAUGUAAAACCUGAUAAAUUUCAAUUGUGGUGCUAAUGGUGUAGCCUGUUAGAGGUAAUUGUAGUGGAAAAUAUUUUGUAUUUUUCCUAAGGUCUAUCAACUCUGUCUUGAGUGACUAAAUUGUGAAAUGUUUUUGCUAAGAAUAUUGGCACUUACUUAGAUUAAAGCCCAUCACAGGCAAUCUGCAAGUUAGUAAAACUUUGCAUAAAAAAUAAAAAUAAAAAUAAAAAUAAAGUUGACUGGGGAGGUAAAUUAGAGAUUAAGCCCUUGACUCAUUUACUCAAGGCUCUGAGGUGGAUACCCAGCAUUGCAACAAACCACAAAACCACAAGCUAAAUAAAACUUCCCAGAAACCCUCAUCGGUAUUCAAAAUGCUGAUCUUCAAGUAGAAAACUAAUAUCUUUCUGUGAACUUUUUAAGCCAGAUUUACUUUUUAAGUACUCUCCAUGUUUAAAACAGCCCUCAUCAAAUGUAACCCUAAAUUAUAAUGUAUUAUACUUAAAUAUUGUCUCAACCAACAAACUGAUCAUCAAGUAAAAAAUCUGCUUCUUGGCUUACUUCAGCACCAAGGUGCUGGUGUUUCUUUGCUCUCUCCAGAGCAUUCCAGUGAUACCAAUAGUCCUCAAUACUAGAGUUUCCUUUUGCUUCUGAAGAACUGUAAUAAAUAUAAAGGCAAAAGGUGUACCUACCUACACGUUUAUAUUUUUGUGUGUAGAGUGUGUGAUUCUGUGUGUGCGUACAUGUUGUGUAUGUAUACAUGUAUGUGGUCAUGUUUCUGUGUACAUAUGCUUUGGAGAAGUCAGAACAGGCAGAACUUAGAGGGGUUUAACAAUUGAAAGAAAGGACCCAUAUCACUAGAAGAGAAUCACAUUUGUAUGCUUUCAAAUAAUACAUAAAUUACUCUGCUGUCUGUAUGACAUGAAAUCUAGACAUACAUAAAGGUCAAUGUCUUAAUUGGUUUAAUGAAUCAGAAAAUGGAAUUCAAUGAUCAUAGAAUGACUGAAAAGUAAGAACACCUGUGUUGAAAGAACUUCUAGAAGCAAAAAAGAGCCUCAGUAGAUGAAGAAUUCCCCUCAAACCCUUGACUGGUCUCUGGGAUAUCCAUGAAUGGAAAAGACAUAGAGAAACCCACUAGGAAACAACAGUUGAAAGUAUAGAGGAUAGAGAUUUCCUCAAGGUGAGGAAAGCAGGAUUUAGAGUCCUUCCAGUUCAACCCAGCUAAUGUAACACCAAACCUCUGCCAGUUCUAGGUGGUCGGCCAGUAACGCUACUGCCUGACAGGACGAAAACCAUACUUUUUAAAAGAAGAGACCAUACUUCAGUAUUUCUGUGGUGAGAGGGAUUGAACUCACGACCUUGCGCUUGCCAGGCAGGUAUUUAUGCCACUGAGCUAGAUCCCCGCUCCCAGUAAACCUAUUCUUUAUAACAGGAUGAAUUGGAAACCUUUUCAGAUAAACAAAAGGGGAGCUUAUUAUUGUCAAUUGAAAGAAGAUCAAAAGAAGUGGUAAAUUAGGAUGUUUAAGUCUGGAAGGCACAGAAAUAUCUAAAGAACAAUGAAGCAAGAGAACUGUGGCUGCACACCCAUGGUUAUUUCUUUCCUUUAUACCACCCAGCACAAAAGACUUUUGAAGAACAACCAGAAAUGAUGGCAGAAAGUUCUCUUGCAAACAGUAUACCAGUUAUUGGAAUCUGGGAAGAUCCUGGACCGAAUCAUUCCCACCAUGGGGAUCAACCUCAAGACCUUGCACUUAGCAGGCAGGUGCAUUCCCACUGGGCUCUAACUCCCUGACCUGUAGACUGGUUUUCUGAUUCAGAAGUGCUUUGUUAUGCUGUCUUACAUGACUUACAAAUCCUUUAGUCUCCUGUUUUGUUUGAAGUAGAAUGUUAAUAAAAAUGAAGUAAGUUAGACACACAAGCUUAAAUAUUGUACAGUUUCUUUUGGAGGAGAAACUUAAAAUAUAUAGUUCAAAAUAGAAGAUAGAUAAAUAGAAUAGGGAGAAGUUAAAAUACUUUCCUAAAUUACCUAUUCUGCUGAUUCAAAAAUAAUUUAAUAUAUAUGGUAAGUUGUUAUUUAUUUACUUAUUACGAUUUUCUCUUAGUUCACUGAAAAUAAAGUUAUGUGUGAUUAUCUUUCAUUUUUGUAAGAAAAUACUUGAGGAUAAUAAUACAGUGAAGUAAAUUGUUAUUCUCUUAGUAUUUUGUCAUGAAAUUUUGCUUUAUUUUUUGUAAAGUACAAAAAGAAGAAUAGGGAAUAUUGAUGAAAGAAAUUAAAAACCAUUAUUCAUAAUACAUAUAAACAACUUUAAAUUUUAACUCAGUGUGGAAUUCACAAGGAACCAGAAUUUGAUUUGCAUUCUCUUUAAAAGAACAGAACAGUCUUGAGUUUGACUGUAAGAGAAAAACUAUGAUAUUAUAGGGAGAAAACAAAUGCAGAGACUUUCCAUUACUUAUCUUUGAGGCAGAUUUCCAGAAUAAGUGUGUUAUAUUAUAUAAUUGUGAUACUUGCUCUUAAUUCAAAUCUGUAAUUGUAUUAUGGUUGUAUUUAGAAAUAUUAAUUAAAUUCUACUUUGCUAAGAACAUAGAGAUCCAAGUUUAUAUCUCACCUGUAAAUGCAUUGUGUAUUACCUAAAAGUUGAGCUACUAAAUAGGUGGGCUAUAGCAAUCAUGUCCCUUUUUGAGCACAAGUGAAAAGUGGGGUUGAAACUUGGGUUGGUGUGUGAUGAAAUGCAUGCUGACUUAUCCCUCACAGCCUCACUAGCUCCCUAGUAUUUAUUGGAGUGUAGCUAGAACAUUGCUUGAGAAUAGAAUCCUUUUGUAUGUUUUUUUUAUCUGGCACCCUCUUUUAAAUAUCAUAAAAAUAUCUCUAAUAUGUAUAUAGCACUGUUUUAUUCCAUUCUCUUUGAAGAGAUAACAAUUGUAAGUGGCCAGAUGAAUAGAAAUUUGACCAGAGGAGAAGGUAAACGCAUUCACAAAACAAAGCACACCUAGCAAGAAUUAAAGGUAGUCAUAGUUUUCAAAAGCCAUACAUCAGCAAGAGAGAUACUAAGGCUGAAAAAGAUGCGCUGAUUAUAUAGCAAAGAAAAAUACGGAAAACUUCAGUGUAUGUCAUUAUAUUUUCCUUUUUUUUUUUUGCAUCAUGAAUAGUGUUAACAAAAUAUUCUUCUUUGUGGAUUACAAAUGCUAAUUUUCUUCUUUUUCUCCAAAUCCACAUGCAAUUUCAAAUUGUGGCUAAAUAGUUUAAUUAGCUGUUUAGUCCCCAUCCUUUGCCGUGUCAUUUUUAUCCCUGAACACAAAAAUUCUUUUUCCAAAAGUGUGUUCACAUGCAGAAACAUAUACAGACACGGAAUCUGUAGAUUGUCCUCUAGAAGAUAUCUCAUGCAUUUACGGUCUGGUCACUGCUCUAAAGAAGUUUAUGAUUUAUUAAGGCUAAGUAGGGAGUCAACACUGCGGCAUGGAUGAUGAACCAGAAGACAAGCCAUUCUCAACUUGCAUAAAUUCCCAUUGUGUUCUGAAUGAGAGAUUAUUCUUCUAAAAACAAAAUUGGCCCUGUGGAAGACUAUUGGUUUAGAGAUAUUAAUUAUGAGAAGCACUAUUCAUUUCUACUUUGAAUUACUUUCACUUUUUUUUUUUUUUUUUUUUUUUUGGUACCGGUGAUUGAACUCACAACCUCAUGCUUGCCAGGCAGGUGCUUGUGCUGCUGAGCUAAACCCCCGGCCCUCUACUGUUACUUUUUUGCUUGAUUGUAUUUGCAUUAUGUGUAAAGAUAAUGCACAUUACAGAAUUUUAAAAUGACAUUUAGAAAGGAUAUCCAAAUUCCAUUUUAUUGGUCUUUCAUCAUCACUGCUGUGGUUAUCUUUAUGAAAUAACGGUCUCUAGGUGGCAGCAUUUCAAGCCUUUAAAAUAAGUGUUUUAAAAUAUAAAAGGUGAAGUGUUUUUAAGUGUGGCUAAUGAAGAAUUUGGGGGAAAUGUGGUAAGAUUGCUUAAUCCUUUGAACUUUUAUUAAUACAUAAUGGUUACAUCCCGCUUGGGGAGUUGGUUCCCACCCAAACAUAUAUAUGUAACACAUCUUAAUUCUAUUUUUCAUCUCCUUCUCUUCUUUCCCCCUAUCUCUAUCUCUUAGUCCCAUUCAGUUUUGCAAAAGAGCUCUCUCUGUUUCCUAGUAUCUAUCUUUUAUUUGGUUCUUUGCUUAUAUUUUGGGUUUUUAAAUAAAAUAAACCAUACGAUAUUUAAA